RNAcentral lists this ribosomal RNA (545 nucleotides) under uncultured Glomeromycotina. RNAcentral describes it as "SSU rRNA". It matches the Rfam family "Eukaryotic small subunit ribosomal RNA", at positions 548 to 1098 of the family's 1831-position model. The record is from RNAcentral. Lineage: Eukaryota; Fungi; Glomeromycota.
UUGGAGGGCAAGUCUGGUGCCAGCAGCCGCGGUAAUUCCAGCUCCAAUAGCGUAUAUUAAAGUUGUUGCAGUUAAAAAGCUCGUAGUUGAAUUUCGAGACCGGUCUACUGGUCGUGCUUUUGUACGUACUGGUAUAAUCGGUUUCUCUCUUCUGACGAACUAUAAUGCCAUUAAUUUGGUGUUUUAGGGAAUCAGGACUGUUACUUUGAAAAAAUUAGAGUGUUUAAAGCAGGCUCACGCUUGAAUACAUUAGCAUGGAAUAACGAAAUAGGACGUUUGAUUCUAUUUUGUUGGUUUCUAGGAUCGACGUAAUGAUUAAUAGGGAUAGUUGGGGGCAUUAGUAUUCACUUGUCAGAGGUGAAAUUCUUGGAUUUAUUGAAGACUAACUACUGCGAAAGCAUUUGCCAAGGAUGUUUUCAUUAAUCAAGAACGAAAGUUAGGGGAACGAAGACGAUCAGAUACCGUCGUAGUCUUAACCAUAAACUAUGCCGGCUAGGGAUCGGAUGAUGUUAAAUUAAUGACUUAUUCGGCGCCUUACGGGAAAC